UACGUAGGGGGCAAGCGUUGUUCGGAAUUACUGGGAGUAAAGGGCGCGUAGGCGGCACGGCAAGUCAGGAGUGAAAGGCCUGGGCUCAACCGAGGAACUGCUUUUGAGACUGCCGAGCUAGAGUGCGGGAGGGGCAACUGGAAUUCCCAGUGUAGCGGUGAAAUGCGUAGAUAUUGGGAAGAACACCUGAGGCGAAGGCGGGUUGCUGGGCCGACACUGACGCUGAGGCGCGAAAGCCAGGGGAGCAAACGGG
Molecule: ribosomal RNA, 253 nt
Filed under: uncultured bacterium
Lineage: Bacteria
Description: partial 16S ribosomal RNA
Rfam family: Bacterial small subunit ribosomal RNA
Source: RNAcentral